GGGCGAAUGAGAGGCCAGCUGUGCUUCAGCUGCGGGCCCCAGUUGUUGUGACAAAGUGAAAAGUGUGGGCACCAACAGAUCAUUAACUGCGGAGCCAAAAAUAAGCUGAUGAUGGAAUCACAUGCUCUAAGGGGACAGGAGAACGGGGCCCGUCUAACGCGAGUGCUGGUUCCGGCCCAGGAGGGGACUAAGCCUUACCAGCCAGAGAAGUGUUUUCCCAAGAUUGGAGUUAUCAUGUCAUUUUGGUAGCUGUUUGAUCCACCUGGCCUGGAACUGGAGCCCUGAAUGCGCUCUGCUCCUCACGGACCUGCAUGACCUCAGGCUCUUUCUGUGCUUCAGUUCCUUUGUUUGGAGCACGGAGUGGAAAUGUAGCAGACAUCUUGACUUCAGAAGUGUGCUUCUUAACUUUAUUAAAGCAAGAUUUUGCACAUUUAUGCUUUGAAGAAAACGACUAGAUUAUGGAGCUCAUGAAGAUCAGAAGUCCGGCGUUUGCAGAGUUCAGACCGAUUGGGAGGAUACGCAUUCCAAGAAAUUACCUUAAGAUUUGUUUCACCAUUAAAGUGACAUUCUCAGCUGUGCUCCAAUCAACUGGAUAAAAGCGGAAAACCCAUCAGAAGUUGUUCCUGUUGACUAUCACCUUUCAAACCCUGCUUUGGAAGCACAGCGCUUCUCCCAGGGCCAUCAUUAGAGGCUCCUGGCUUCUUCCUUCUCUAAUCCACACUCCAUCCGGUUUUCUACAGUGCCAGCAACUUGCCUUUCCAGAUGCACGGUGGUGCUGCUUCCAGAAGGGCUCCCCACUGCCCACAGAAUUGAUGCCAGAGGCCAGCGUCUGCCAUUUGAGAAGCAUUUAAUCUGGGAGGACCAACCUUUCUAGACCCCAAUCCUGUAUCCCCAAGCCCCUCCCCAACACCAUAUGCUCAAGCCAUGCCGGACUUGUAGUUUCCUGAUUUUGUAGCCUUUCCCGUCCAUACCUCCAGCCUUCACGUGACCACAGCCCUAACUGACGUCUUGACUGCAACUUCAUGAGGGGCCGUGGGCCAGAAUCACCCAGCUAAGGCGCUCCUGGAUUCCCGACCCACAGCGCUGUGAUAAAUAAAUAGCUGUUGUUUUAAGAUGCUACGUUUUGGGGAAAUUUGUUACAGAAUAAUGGAUUCCCCUCCCUGGCCUGGUAUUGUUAUAAAUCAGCAGGAGGAUCCAAGCAACCUCCUGCUGUGUUGCUCAGAGUCGGCAAACUCCCCACACUAGAUUCGGCCCUCAUCACACGUCCGGAGUGGACAGUGUGGAAAUGGAGAGACAGGACAUGCAACUAAUGUGAAGCUUGAGGAGGAGAAAGCAGAAGACGAAGACCUGUUCACAAGUUGGUAGCUGGAUGCCUACAAUGUCUGAGCUGGCUUUUCCCCUUUUCUAUGAAGGGAGAGGCAGUAGAGCAGGGAGAAGAAUGAAUAUUUUGA
RNAcentral lists this long non-coding RNA (1451 nucleotides) under Equus caballus (horse). RNAcentral describes it as "lncRNA (ENSECAG00000055313.1)". The record is from RNAcentral. Lineage: Eukaryota; Metazoa; Chordata; Mammalia; Perissodactyla; Equidae.